GGUGGCUCAGUGGUAGAGAGCUUGCCUUGCAUGCAUGAAGCCCUGGGUUCAAUUCCUCAGCACCA
Non-coding RNA from Dipodomys ordii (Ord's kangaroo rat), 65 nucleotides. The record is from Rfam. Lineage: Eukaryota; Metazoa; Chordata; Mammalia; Rodentia; Heteromyidae.